GCAUUGGUGGUUCAGUGAUAGAAUUCUUGCCUGGCAUGCAGAAGACCUGGGUGUGAUCUCAGCCAACACA
Molecule: transfer RNA, 70 nt
Filed under: Lepisosteus oculatus (spotted gar)
Lineage: Eukaryota; Metazoa; Chordata; Actinopteri; Semionotiformes; Lepisosteidae
Rfam family: tRNA
About the family: Transfer RNA (tRNA) molecules are approximately 80 nucleotides in length. Their secondary structure includes four short double-helical elements and three loops (D, anti-codon, and T loops).
Source: Rfam by way of RNAcentral